GACGAACGCUGGCGGCGUGCUUAACACAUGCAAGUCGAACGGUGAAGCUCCAGCUUGCUGGAGUGGAUCAGUGGCGAACGGGUGAGUAACACGUGAGCAACCUGCCCCUGACUCUGGAAUAAGCGCUGGAAACGGCGUCUAAUACUGGAUACGAGAAGGGUCCGCAUGGGCGCUUUCUGGAAAGUUUUUCGGUUGGGGAUGGGCUCACGGCCUAUCAGCUUGUUGGUGAGGUAAUGGCUCACCAAGGCGACGACGGGUAGCCGGCCUGAGAGGGCGACCGGCCACACUGGGACUGAGACACGGCCCAGACUCCUACGGGAGGCAGCAGUGGGGAAUAUUGCACAAUGGGCGAAAGCCUGAUGCAGCGACGCCGCGUGAGGGAUGACGGCCUUCGGGUUGUAAACCUCUUUCAGCAGGGAAGAAGCGAAAGUGACGGUACCUGCAGAAGAAGCACCGGCUAACUACGUG
This 468-nucleotide ribosomal RNA is filed under the name uncultured bacterium. Its description in RNAcentral is "partial 16S ribosomal RNA". It matches the Rfam family "Bacterial small subunit ribosomal RNA", at positions 28 to 507 of the family's 1533-position model. The record is from RNAcentral.